UACAGAGGGUGCAAGCGUUGUUCGGAAUUCUUGGGCGUAAAGCGCGUGUAGGCGGCUUUGCAAGUCGGGUGUGAAAGCCCUCAGCUCAACUGAGGAAGUGCGCCCGAAACUGCAGAGCUUGAGUACCGGAGAGGAUGGUGGAAUUCCCCAAGUAGAGGUGAAAUUCGUAGAUAUGGGGAGGAACACCGGUGGCGAAGGCGACCAUCUGGACGGAUACUGACGCUGAGACGCGAAAGCGUGGGUAGCAAACAGG
RNAcentral lists this ribosomal RNA (253 nucleotides) under uncultured bacterium. RNAcentral describes it as "partial 16S ribosomal RNA". It matches the Rfam family "Bacterial small subunit ribosomal RNA", at positions 524 to 776 of the family's 1533-position model. The record is from RNAcentral.